This is a long non-coding RNA of Bufo bufo (common toad), 214 nucleotides long. RefSeq lists it as uncharacterized. The transcript is spliced from 4 exons. The record is from RefSeq and is a predicted model, not a curated record. NCBI's taxonomy places the organism in Eukaryota, Metazoa, Chordata, Amphibia, Anura, Bufonidae.
UGUGGACCUAAUGUUAUGUGGGGUGCACACAGCGUGCUGUCCGCAUCCGCAUUUCCGGAGGGUGACGGCGAUCUUCCGGUCCACGGCUCCUGAAAAAAAUACAUGUCCUAUUCUUGUCCGCAAUUGCGGACAAGAAUAGGCAUUUCUAUGGGGGUGCCGGCCAGGUGUAUUGCGGAUCCGCAAUACACUACGGACGUGUGAAUGGACCCUAAGG